Molecule: long non-coding RNA, 881 nt
Filed under: Homo sapiens (human)
Lineage: Eukaryota; Metazoa; Chordata; Mammalia; Primates; Hominidae
Description: HSALNT0343994
Source: RNAcentral
CUCCAGCCUGGGCAACGAGAGUGAAACUCCGUCUAGAAAAAAGAAAAGUUACUCCUCCCUGAGAAUGGAAUGUUUCCCCAGUGUGUCCCCAGGAGAGGAGGUCCUGGGCCAUGGGGAUGCACACCCGACCCUCUCCUGGCACGGAUGUAACCACAUCGUGGGAGCCCUGGGAGCACUCACCCCAGGAACCCUACAUGUCGCCUGCCUGCGCCGCAGUGUAGCUUCUUCCUUCUGUCUCCUUUGCCGUGUCACUCACUCCCCAGCCACGGUCAGGGAUGCUGCUUUGCUCCCAGUAACUUUGUUUUCCUCAUAGAAGCUUCAGUAUAUCCCCUUUUUCAGACCAUCUAGUGAAGAGUCCCAGUAUAGAAGCCAGGCAGGAGACAGCUGGUGUUCCGAACUCCACCCUGCCCUGUGGCGCCGGACUGGGAGUAAAGCUCACCUCCUGCUUUUCCUCAAACCAGUCCAUUAUUCUGCCUGUGAGAAAAGCAUGCUGCAAAGGAACACCACAGACCUGCCUUAAGAGCUUGUGUAUUUCAGUCCUGCGAAUGAUAGGAAAUAUUGUCAUGAGUUUGCUGGUCUCUUCAGUUCCUCCGGGAUCAAGCAGGCACUUGGGAAUCACAGUCACUUGGCUGCCCAGGUUCAUUUUUUAUACCAUCAUCGUUCAUCUGUCCAGUUCAUGACCCUGUCCAGGGGCAACCCCAACAAUGCCCUUGCCGUAACAGCUCUGUAAAGGAAGUACUACCGUAUCCCCAAGAUAAGAGACCAGAAAACUAAAGCACAAAAUGCUAUAUUCAACAUAAAAUCGACCAGGCGUGGUAGCUCACACCUGUAGUCCCAACACUUUGGGAGGCCAGGGCAGGUGGAUCACUUGAGGUCAGGAG